UGAGUGCCUGUUGUGCAAAUCCUUAUCAGU
RNAcentral lists this non-coding RNA (30 nucleotides) under Mus musculus (house mouse). Lineage: Eukaryota; Metazoa; Chordata; Mammalia; Rodentia; Muridae. The record is from RNAcentral.